ACUCGAUAAUCCACGAAUACCCAACCUCCUCUUGAUAUUCAGCAUGUGUACUGCCGUUGUAAGCAUACCUCUAAAAGUUCAAGUAUACAAACAUGACUAGAAUCUCAUAUACAUCAGGUCAAAGUGCAGCCAAUAAGGAGGUGAUGAUGGGUUACAACCCCAAAACAGACUAUCAACUAAGAAAUAAAAAAUCUUACGAAAGUGGACUUGGUAGUAAUCAAUUUACAAGUUAAAGAAAUGAAUAAAACUCUAAGACAUGUACACAUCGCCCGUCACUCUAUCCUAAAGGAUAGAUAAGUCGUAACAAAGUAGGUGUAAUGGAAAUUGCUCCUGUCGAAAUAUAGCAUAUAAAAUGCUUUUUACUUACACUAAAAAUAAAGUUGGAUAACUUAUUUCGCCCAAGCCAAAAACCCUAUAAACCAUUAACAAUGAAAACACUUAAAUAAUAAACCAAAUACUUAAAGUACAUAAAUGGAAAAAACAAUAAAUUAAAGUAAAUAUUAAAAAAUAUACCUUGUGCAUUAUGGUUUUACAAGAAAAUAGUUAAAACACCGAUCCCGAAUUCUAUAUGAGAUGUUGAGUUGCUGUUAAGAACCCACUAGUAACUGUAGAAAAAGUUUUAAAAGACAACUUGACAGAGGCUACAUACCAUCCGCAUAAGAAUAUAGCUGGUUUUCAACAAAAAUUAUAAAUUAAGACAUAUAAUUAAAUUAUAGUGUAAAACUACUGAGGAUAAGCCCAAUAGAUAAGAGCAAUAUAAUGCAUAAGUCCAUAGUAACCCUUAGGCCUAAAAUCAGCCAACCAAAAUACUUUACCGUAAUAAACACGGAUAAAAUUAAUAACACUUAAAUGCCCUAUAAAGUUGAAAUAGUGAAUAAAUAUGCCCACUCACUUAUAUUAUGUAAAAAUAAGUAUUCCAAAAUAAGAGUAAAACAAGCCCGUGACAAACACCGUAAAAGACACAAUAACUAAUUAAGGAACUCGGCAACCAUUAUUUCGACUGUUUAACAAAAACAUUGUUUCAUGAAAUAAAUAUGAAAUAAAACCUGCCCA
RNAcentral lists this ribosomal RNA (1053 nucleotides) under Amynthas sp. YN201107-13. RNAcentral's name for it is "partial 12S ribosomal RNA". The stretch from base 1 to 346 matches the Rfam family "Bacterial small subunit ribosomal RNA", at positions 949 to 1533 of the family's 1533-position model. Lineage: Eukaryota; Metazoa; Annelida; Clitellata; Crassiclitellata; Megascolecidae. The record is from RNAcentral.